ACUGUGAUAUAAUAUAUUUAUGAUGUCACUUUCUAAAAAACUAACAUAACUAUUAUUUCAUUUUAAUGUCAGUUUCUCUUAAAGUGUGAUAUAAUAUAUUUAUGAUGUCACUUUUGAUAAAACUGACAUAACUAUUAUUUCUUUUUAAUGUCAGUUUCUCCUAAAGUGUGAUCUAAUAUAUUUAUGAUGUCAAUUUCUAAAAAAUUGACAUAACUAUUAUGAUUUUUAAUGUCAAUUUUUCCUAAAGUGUGAUCUAAUAUAUUUAAUGACGGUUUCCUUAUAAACCGUGAUGUUUGUAUUCUUAUUAUGAUGGUCAUAAAAAAAAAACUGUGAUAACAAUUGCUUUUUUCAAUGUCACUUUUCUUUGUAACCGAGAUUAAAAGGGAGUAACUGGAACUUCAAAAACCCACGAUCCCUCGUUACUUCAUUAUUCGCGCUUGCUCUUAAAAGACCCACGAUCCCCUCCCUCCCUCCCUCUCUUUCUCUCUCUUUCUCGCACUCACCGGCCUCUUGAUCUCCUCUCACAUGACCUUCUCACAGUGAUUCGUACAUUUGCCCCACUGCCCUGUUCGACAACUCUACCUUUCUUCCACAGGUUUGUUCAACUCCUCUCUUUGUACAUUUGUUUAUUUACCGAUCUAAAACCCCAUUGCAAUCAAAAAACCACCAUUUCUAAACCCUAAAUUGCUGGAUCAAAAAAAAGGGUUAUAUCCGUGCUUUGAAAAAUAAAAUGAGCAGUAAAGCUAGGGUUUUGUUACGGAACAGAGUUCGAAAGUUGAUUGAGGGCAAUCUUCUCAUGCUAAGGUAUGCCUCGAUUUUUUUGGAUUCCAGUGAAUGCCAUUAGCUUCUCACCUUAGUAGUCUUUUCAUUACCAUUACCACCACUGUAGUCAGUAAGUUUUUUCCCUUUUUAAACUUCUCUGUUCAAUUCUCACAACUUUUUGUCUAAUUUUUUCGUUCUUGGAUUUAUGGGUGCUAUUUACAUGGUUCCAAAUUUGUUUCAGUGUUGAUUGAGUUGUUCGCAGAGGUCUCGUCAAUUGUCAAGAUCAAUCAUGUAGAGAGUCUAUCAAUAAGCUUGUCUCAGACUUGAACAGCGCAACGUUGGAGCCUGAUGUUGGGAAACUGGGGCAACAUAGUAUCCAGGAACAUGCUGUAGGAGCAAUGCACUUUGAGGAUAUAUAUUAUAUAUGCCGAGCAAUGCAAACUUUUGGGUUGAAGAAAGCUGGAAUAAGUGAAUAGUUAUAGGGGUAAUUUAUUUGUAUUGUGUACUUUUCGGGUUGAAAGAUACAUAAGAAUUAUGUACUUGAGC
Molecule: long non-coding RNA, 1308 nt
Organism: Rhododendron vialii
Lineage: Eukaryota; Viridiplantae; Streptophyta; Magnoliopsida; Ericales; Ericaceae
Exons: 4
Source: RefSeq, a predicted model, not a curated record